Molecule: ribosomal RNA, 632 nt
Filed under: Micromonospora sp. Ri2Pt_3941
Lineage: Bacteria; Bacillati; Actinomycetota; Actinomycetes; Micromonosporales; Micromonosporaceae
Description: bacterial SSU rRNA
Rfam family: Bacterial small subunit ribosomal RNA
Source: RNAcentral
CCUGAUGCAGCGACGCCGCGUGAGGGAUGACGGCCUUCGGGUUGUAAACCUCUUUCAGCAGGGACGAAGCGCAAGUGACGGUACCUGCAGAAGAAGCACCGGCCAACUACGUGCCAGCAGCCGCGGUAAGACGUAGGGUGCGAGCGUUGUCCGGAUUUAUUGGGCGUAAAGAGCUCGUAGGCGGCUUGUCGCGUCGACCGUGAAAACUUGGGGCUCAACCCCAAGCCUGCGGUCGAUACGGGCAGGCUAGAGUUCGGUAGGGGAGACUGGAAUUCCUGGUGUAGCGGUGAAAUGCGCAGAUAUCAGGAGGAACACCGGUGGCGAAGGCGGGUCUCUGGGCCGAUACUGACGCUGAGGAGCGAAAGCGUGGGGAGCGAACAGGAUUAGAUACCCUGGUAGUCCACGCUGUAAACGUUGGGCGCUAGGUGUGGGGGGCCUCUCCGGUUCCCUGUGCCGCAGCUAACGCAUUAAGCGCCCCGCCUGGGGAGUACGGCCGCAAGGCUAAAACUCAAAGGAAUUGACGGGGGCCCGCACAAGCGGCGGAGCAUGCGGAUUAAUUCGAUGCAACGCGAAGAACCUUACCUGGGUUUGACAUGGCCGCAAAACUUCCAGAGAUGGGAGGUCCUUCGGGG